This is an RNA transcript of Mercenaria mercenaria, 603 nucleotides long. RefSeq lists it as uncharacterized. The record is from RefSeq and is a predicted model, not a curated record. The transcript has 3 exons. NCBI's taxonomy places the organism in Eukaryota, Metazoa, Mollusca, Bivalvia, Venerida, Veneridae.
UUGAUGAUUAUAAUUUCUUAUCAAAUAAUGAAUCCUAUUCAGAUAUUCGUCUUUAAUAUUAGAAAAUUAUUAAUUUCUGUGGACAUUUGUCAAAAAAUAUUACUUACAGUGGACUACUUUGCGCAUCAAACUGGUUUCCGCUUCAGCUGUGAGGCACUUCCGUUAUACUUUUGACAACAAUAACAAAACACAAAAUGAAUCAAUAAAGUCACUUAUAAACCGACUGCUACUUAAAUCAGUGUAGAAGUCUGAAGAUGCCAGCAAUCUGCUUGCUGAGGCCACUGCUGUUUGGCGUAAGACCCAUAUUCGUAACCUGCCACAACUUCCUAGGAACACACUACCUAAAGUUGGAGGUUCAGACCACAGCCAGCCCAUCAUCCUGCCAACAACUGAAUCUGGUGUACAGACAGAUCCACAAGCACAAGUCAUCGCGGUGGAUGAAGACAUGGAGCACCAGAUUGUGAAUGAAGACUGCGAUGCUGCACAGUUCUUGACAGAUUUUUUUGAUGAAAAUGACUCUGGUUUAGACUCUGGUUUAGAGUUGGAGUACGACUCUGAUUUUUGAUAUGAUCAUUGUGAUGUCACAAAUAAAUUUUUAAGAGA